RNAcentral lists this unclassified non-coding RNA (349 nucleotides) under Hevea brasiliensis (rubber tree). The record is from RNAcentral. Lineage: Eukaryota; Viridiplantae; Streptophyta; Magnoliopsida; Malpighiales; Euphorbiaceae.
CUCUCUCUCUCUCUCUCUUUCUCUCUAAUAACUCUAACAGCAUACUUGCAAGAAACCUCUCCGGUUGCAAUAUUGCCGCAUGCUUAUAUUGUAGUGGUCGUUGAUUAGAAAAAUAUUGAUGAAUAUUGACGAGGACAUGAUGGCCAGUACUGAGUCAUAUCGCCCAACAUCCACCGGAGAAACGUACUCAGUGUCUCCACCACGGCAAAUGGAUCUGACUGAAUCUAGCUCACCUGAGGAUUUUCAAGUAUAUGAACCCAGGAAAUUUACAUUUGAAGAACUAGCAAUUGCAACUCGUCAUUUCUCCAACAACGAACUCCUUGGCGUUGGUGAUUUUGGUGAUGUCUAU